UUGGAGAAUUUAUUGAAUUUAGGUAUGGCUGUCGUCCCAUCUAGAGAACUAACCAAGACCCUGUGGGGGCAGAAGGAGACUUCUUUGGCUCCGUGAAUACACUAGCUAUGCGGUGGUCUAGUUAGUUUGAGUGUGUGGUUCGUAUUCAAAGUGUUCCAAGCCGCAGUUCACUCGAAGGUCAUCGUGGAUACGUCUGCACUUGACAAUCAAGGCUGGAAAGGACUGCCUGGUGUGUCCGAACGGUCAUUGGCAUGCUGUCUGUUUCACAGCUCGUGUAACAGGUUCACCGUACAGCUAUGAAUGCAAUGUAGCGUGUCGAAGCCACUUCGGUAUGACGUGAUGCCUAAUUCCCUGGUACCAAAAUUGCGAGUAUGCAAAUGAUCGUCAAGCCUGUCCCCUGUACAGUAGCCGUCUUGCCUUGUUACGCCUGGUUCUGACUCUGCGUUCUCGUAUACUCCAUGCAAUGUUACAAGGAAUACUGCUCCCUUCUCAAACAAUUCAUUGGCAACAAAACGCUCGGCUAUGCCGUGUAACUUUGC
Sycon ciliatum is the source of this 539-nucleotide long non-coding RNA. RefSeq lists it as uncharacterized. The record is from RefSeq and is a predicted model, not a curated record. NCBI's taxonomy places the organism in Eukaryota, Metazoa, Porifera, Calcarea, Leucosolenida, Sycettidae. The transcript is spliced from 2 exons.